GAUGAACGCUGGCGGCGUGCUUAACACAUGCAAGUCGAACGGACUUAUGAUGAAACCUAGUGAUUCGUAAGUUAGUGGCGGACGGGUGAGUAACGCGUGGAUAACCUGCCUUACACUGGGGGAUAACACUUAGAAAUAGGUGCUAAUACCGCAUAAGCGCACAGGACCGCAUGGUCUGGUGUGAAAAACUCCGGUGGUGUAAGUUGGAUCCGCGUCUGAUUAGCUAGUUGGUGAGGUAACGGCUCACCAAGGCGACGAUCAGUAGCCGGCCUGAGAGGGUGAACGGCCACAUUGGGACUGAGACACGGCCCAAACUCCUACGGGAGGCAGCAGUGGGGAAUAUUGCACAAUGGGCGAAAGCCUGAUGCAGCGACGCCGCGUGAGUGAAGAAGUAUUUCGGUAUGUAAAGCUCUAUCAGCAAGGAAGAAAAUGACGGUACUUGACUAAGAAGCCCCGGCUAACUACGUGCCAGCCGCCGCCGUAA
RNAcentral lists this ribosomal RNA (484 nucleotides) under uncultured bacterium. Its description in RNAcentral is "partial 16S ribosomal RNA". It matches the Rfam family "Bacterial small subunit ribosomal RNA", at positions 28 to 523 of the family's 1533-position model. The record is from RNAcentral.